RNAcentral lists this ribosomal RNA (74 nucleotides) under Tropicoporus linteus. RNAcentral's name for it is "partial 28S ribosomal RNA". It matches the Rfam family "Eukaryotic large subunit ribosomal RNA", at positions 1 to 73 of the family's 3401-position model. The record is from RNAcentral. Lineage: Eukaryota; Fungi; Basidiomycota; Agaricomycetes; Hymenochaetales; Hymenochaetaceae.
UUGACCUCAAAUCAGGUAGGAUUACCCGCCUAACUUAAGCAUAUCAAUAAGCGGAGGAAAAGAAACUAACAAGG